RNAcentral lists this ribosomal RNA (253 nucleotides) under uncultured bacterium. RNAcentral describes it as "partial 16S ribosomal RNA". It matches the Rfam family "Bacterial small subunit ribosomal RNA", at positions 524 to 776 of the family's 1533-position model. The record is from RNAcentral.
UACGAAGGGUGCAAACGUUGCUCGGAAUCAUUGGGCGUAAAGCGCACGUAGGCGGCUUAGCAAGUCGGAUGUGAAAGCCCUCGGCUCAACCAAGGAAGUGCAUCCGAAACUGCUGAGCUUGAGUACUUAAGAGGAUCGCGGAAUUCCCGGUGUAGAGGUGAAAUUCGUAGAUAUCGGGAGGAACACCAGUGGCGAAGGCGGCGAUCUGGGAAGAUACUGACGCUGAGGUGCGAAAGCGUGGGGAGCAAACAGG